This 537-nucleotide ribosomal RNA is filed under the name uncultured Lasiosphaeriaceae. Its description in RNAcentral is "eukaryotic LSU rRNA". The stretch from base 219 to 372 matches the Rfam family "5.8S ribosomal RNA". The record is from RNAcentral. Lineage: Eukaryota; Fungi; Ascomycota; Sordariomycetes; Sordariales; Lasiosphaeriaceae.
AGAGGAAGUAAAAGUCGUAACAAGGUCUCCGUUGGUGAACCAGCGGAGGGAUCAUUACAGAGAUGCAAAACUCCCAACCAUUGUGAACCUACCUUACCGUUGCUUCGGCGGGUGGCCCCUACCAGGGCCGCGCUGGCCCCCCGUGGCCGGCAACCCGUCAGAAGACUUACACUCUCUGUCAUCACUGGCCUCUCUGAGUAACUUAUACAAUAAGUCAAAACUUUCAACAACGGAUCUCUUGGUUCUGGCAUCGAUGAAGAACGCAGCGAAAUGCGAUACGUAAUGUGAAUUGCAGAUUUCAGUGAAUCAUCGAAUCUUUGAACGCACCUUGCGCCCGCCAGUAUUCUGACGGGCAUGCCUGUUCGAGCGUCAUUUCAACCAUCAAGCCCCGGCUUGUGUUGGGGCCCUGCGGCUGCCGCAGACCCCUAAAUCCAGUGGCGGGCUCGUCGUCGUACCGAGUGCAGUAAAUUUCCUCGCUCGGGGACCCCGACGGGUGCUGGCCGUGAAACCACCCCUUCUCAAGGUUGACCUCGGAUC